CUACGUGCCAGCAGCCGCGGUWAUACGUAGGUGGCAAGCGUUGUCCGGAAUUAUUGGGCGUAAAGCGCGCGCAGGCGGAUCAGUCAGUCUGUCUUAAAAGUUCGGGGCUUAACCCCGUGAUGGGAUGGAAACUGCUGAUCUAGAGUAUCGGAGAGGAAAGUGGAAUUCCUAGUGUAGCGGUGAAAUGCGUAGAUAUUAGGAAGAACACCAGUGGCGAAGGCGACUUUCUGGACGAAAACUGACGCUGAGGCGCGAAAGCCAGGGGAGCGAACGGGAUUAGAUACCCCGGUAGUCCUGGCCGUAAACGAUGGGUACUAGGUGUAGGAGGUAUCGACCCCUUCUGUGCCGGAGUUAACGCAAUAAGUACCCCGCCUGGGGAGUACGACCGCAAGGUUGAAACUCAAAGGAAUUGACGGGGGCCCGCACAAGCGGUGGAGUAUGUGGUUUAAUUCGACGCAACGCGAAGAACCUUACCAGGUCUUGACAU
RNAcentral lists this ribosomal RNA (487 nucleotides) under uncultured bacterium. RNAcentral's name for it is "bacterial SSU rRNA". It matches the Rfam family "Bacterial small subunit ribosomal RNA", at positions 501 to 987 of the family's 1533-position model. The record is from RNAcentral.